RNAcentral lists this ribosomal RNA (445 nucleotides) under uncultured bacterium. RNAcentral describes it as "partial 16S ribosomal RNA". It matches the Rfam family "Bacterial small subunit ribosomal RNA", at positions 354 to 796 of the family's 1533-position model. The record is from RNAcentral.
GUGAGGAAUAUUGGUCAAUGGACGAGAGUCUGAACCAGCCAAGUCGCGUGAAGGAAGACGGUUCUAUGAAUUGUAAACUUCUUUUGUGCAGGAAUAAAGUGGGUUACGUGUAACCUUUUGUAUGUACUGUACGAAUAAGGAUCGACUAACUCCGUGCCAGCAGCCGCGGUAAUACGGAGGAUCCAAGCGUUAUCCGGAUUUAUUGGGUUUAAAGGGUGCGUAGGUGGAUUGAUAAGUCAGCGGUGAAAGUUUGCAGCUUAACUGUAAAAUUGCCGUUGAAACUGUCGGUCUUGAGUGCAAAUGAGGUAGGCGGAAUGUGUUGUGUAGCGGUGAAAUGCUUAGAUAUAACACAGAACUCCGAUUGCGAAGGCAGCUUACUGGGAUGCAACUGACACUGAUGUACGAAAGCGUGGGUAUCAAACAGGAUUAGAUACCCGGGUAGUCC